Non-coding RNA from Notechis scutatus (mainland tiger snake), 339 nucleotides. Ensembl annotates it as small Cajal body-specific RNA 7. Its record names the gene SCARNA7. NCBI's taxonomy places the organism in Eukaryota, Metazoa, Chordata, Lepidosauria, Squamata, Elapidae. The record is from Ensembl.
UGGAAAUGAUGAAAUGGAGGUUAACAUGUAGAGGGAUGAAUGUGAAUCGAAGAGCAUGAUUGUUUUAUUCAGUAUAUGUAAAAAGUAAAUGUGUGUGUGAGUGAAAGAAUGUGUGUGGUGCAUGUCUGCAUUUAGGGCCAAAUAAUGAUGCAAACUGUGGACACUGAAAAGAAUUGCUGAUAUUGGAGUGCAUCUGAGGCACAGUUGCUAAGUCAUAGGGCCUUUGCUGCAACAUUGCCUGUGAUUAAAGCCCAAAAUAUGUUCACAGUUUGUAUCUAUAAAUUGUAAACCUCUGACAUGUUCUUUUAGUCAUAUAAAUGAAUAUGUAAUCUGAUCCAA